Molecule: non-coding RNA, 95 nt
Organism: Taeniopygia guttata (zebra finch)
Lineage: Eukaryota; Metazoa; Chordata; Aves; Passeriformes; Estrildidae
Source: RefSeq, a predicted model, not a curated record
CUGGCUGGCUCAGCAGGCAGUUCUAAAGUGGGAUCUGCCCAUGGAGCAGGAGGGUGGCAAACCUGCAGUGCCCAGCUGGCUUUGCUCACCUUGUC